UACGUAGGGGGCGAGCGUUGUCCGGAAUUAUUGGGCGUAAAGAGCUCGUAGGCGGUGUGUCACGUCGGCCGUGAAAACCUGCAGCUUAACUGUGGGCGUGCGGUCGAUACGGGCAUCACUGGAGUUCGGCAGGGGAGACUGGAAUUCCUGGUGUAGCGGUGAAAUGCGCAGAUAUCAGGAGGAACACCGGUGGCGAAGGCGGUUCUCUGGGCCGAUACUGACGCUGAGGAGCGAAAGCGUGGGGAGCAAACAGG
RNAcentral lists this ribosomal RNA (254 nucleotides) under uncultured bacterium. Its description in RNAcentral is "partial 16S ribosomal RNA". It matches the Rfam family "Bacterial small subunit ribosomal RNA", at positions 524 to 776 of the family's 1533-position model. The record is from RNAcentral.